This 253-nucleotide ribosomal RNA is filed under the name uncultured bacterium. RNAcentral describes it as "partial 16S ribosomal RNA". It matches the Rfam family "Bacterial small subunit ribosomal RNA", at positions 524 to 776 of the family's 1533-position model. The record is from RNAcentral.
UACGUAGGGGGCAAGCGUUAUCCGGAAUUACUGGGUGUAAAGGAAGCGUAGACGGUAAUGUAAGUCUGGAGUGAAAGGCGGGGGCCCAACCCCCGGACUGCUCUGGAAACUAUGUUACUAGAGUGCAGGAGAGGUAAGCGGAAUUCCUAGUGUAGCGGUGAAAUGCGUAGAUAUUAGGAGGAACACCAGUGGCGAAGGCGGCUUACUGGACUGUAACUGACGUUGAGGCUCGAAAGCGUGGGGAGCAAACAGG